GGGGUUGUGGCUCAAGUGGUAGAGCGCUCACCUGGCACGUGUGAGGCACUGGGUUCGAUCCUCAGCACCCCA
This 72-nucleotide transfer RNA is filed under the name Ictidomys tridecemlineatus (thirteen-lined ground squirrel). Its description in RNAcentral is "Spermophilus tridecemlineatus (thirteen-lined ground squirrel) tRNA". It matches the Rfam family "tRNA". From Rfam's summary of the family: Transfer RNA (tRNA) molecules are approximately 80 nucleotides in length. Their secondary structure includes four short double-helical elements and three loops (D, anti-codon, and T loops). Further hydrogen bonds mediate the characteristic L-shaped molecular structure. tRNAs have two regions of fundamental functional importance: the anti-codon, which is responsible for specific mRNA codon recognition, and the 3' end, to which the tRNAs corresponding amino acid is attached (by aminoacyl-tRNA synthetases). tRNAs cope with the degeneracy of the genetic code in two manners: having more than one tRNA (with a specific anti-codon) for a particular amino acid; and 'wobble' base-pairing, i.e. permitting non-standard base-pairing at the 3rd anti-codon position. The record is from Rfam by way of RNAcentral. Lineage: Eukaryota; Metazoa; Chordata; Mammalia; Rodentia; Sciuridae.